AUUCGCGGCCUAUCAGCUUGUUGGUGAGGUAACGGCUCACCAAGGCAACGACGGGUAGCUGGUCUGAGAGGACGAUCAGCCACACUGGGACUGAGACACGGCCCAGACUCCUACGGGAGGCAGCAGCAGGGAAUAUUGCACAAUGGGCGAAAGCCUGAUGCAGCGACGCCGCGUGAGGGAUGACGGCUUUCGGGUUGUAAACCUCUUUCAGGAGGGAAGAAGCGAAAGUGACGGUACCUCCACAAGAAGCCCCGGCCAACUACGUGCCAGCAGCCGCGGUAAUACGUAGGGGGCAAGCGUUGUCCGGAUUCAUUGGGCGUAAAGAGCUCGUAGGCGGCUCAGCAAGUCGGUCGUGAAAGCCCGGGGCUCAACCCCGGGACGCCGAUCGAAACUGCUGUGGCUAGGGUCCGGUAGAGGAGAGUGGAAUUCCCGGUGUAGCGGUGAAAUGCGCAGAUAUCGGGAGGAACACCAGUAGCGAAGGCGGCUCUCUGGGCCGGCACCGACGCUGAGGAGCGAAAGCUAGGGGAGCAAACAGGAUUAGAUACCCUGGUAGUCCUAGCCGUAAACGUUGGGCACUAGGUGUGGCGGACUCAUUGACGUCUGCCGUGCCGAAGCAAACGCAUUAAGUGCCCCGCCUGGGGAGUACGGAAU
Molecule: ribosomal RNA, 651 nt
Filed under: uncultured actinomycete
Lineage: Bacteria; Bacillati; Actinomycetota; Actinomycetes; Actinomycetales
Description: bacterial SSU rRNA
Rfam family: Bacterial small subunit ribosomal RNA
Source: RNAcentral